Molecule: ribosomal RNA, 482 nt
Filed under: uncultured bacterium
Lineage: Bacteria
Description: partial 16S ribosomal RNA
Rfam family: Bacterial small subunit ribosomal RNA
Source: RNAcentral
AUUGAACGCUGGCGGCAUGCCUUACACAUGCAAGUCGAACGGUAACGGGCCUUCGGGUGCCGACGAGUGGCGAACGGGUGCGUAAUACAUCGGAACGUGCCCGAUCGUGGGGGAUAACGAGGCGAAAGCUUUGCUAAUACCGCAUACGAUCUACGGAUGAAAGCAGGGGACCGCAAGGCCUUGCGCGGACGGAGCGGCCGAUGGCAGAUUAGGUAGUUGGUGGGAUAAAAGCUUACCAAGCCGACGAUCUGUAGCUGGUCUGGGAGGAUGAUCAGCCACACUGGGACUGAGACACGGCCCAGACUCCUACGGGAGGCAGCAGUGGGGAAUUUUGGACAAUGGGCGCAAGCCUGAUCCAGCCAUGCCGCGUGCAGGAUGAAGGCCUUCGGGUUGUAAACUGCUUUUGUACGGAACGAAAAGCCUUCUUUUAAUACAGGAGGGUCAUGACGGUACCGUAAGAAUAAGCACCGGCUAACUACGUG